Molecule: long non-coding RNA, 507 nt
Organism: Capsella rubella
Lineage: Eukaryota; Viridiplantae; Streptophyta; Magnoliopsida; Brassicales; Brassicaceae
Exons: 2
Source: RefSeq, a predicted model, not a curated record
AUUAUCUCUCCCCUUGUCUUCUCUCUCUCUCUCUCUCUCUCUCUCUCUCUCUCCGAUGGCGGAAGAGAUUUAGCUGGCUGGUUGAAUAGAGAGGAGAAAAAGAUUUCACUUCUAGUGUUCGAUCCCCGUAACCAGAGUCUCCAAACCCGAGUUACUAUUCCCUCAAUCCCAACCCCAAAAUCUCUAUUUGCCUCCGUCGUCUUCUUCUCUCAAAUCCACGGUGGCUUGUUCAAGUGCCGGAGCUAUUCGGAGAAGCAUGGCUACGAAGGGGGAUAAAAGCGAACACGGAGGAUAGGAACUUGGGUGAUCACGCCGAAUCCGUACUGGACAACGGUUGAGUAAAAUUAGCCAGCUGAGGAAGCUAUGUUUAGAAAUUCCUCCCUAGAUCCAAAUUGCUCCUCUCCAAGGUACCAAAGGUUUCAGAGUUCUAAUGUGAUAUAACAAUUGACCCGUAUGAUCAAACUUUUUUUCUUUUCAGUUAAAUCUAUUUUCACUAAUCUUCACAAA